This 1310-nucleotide long non-coding RNA is filed under the name Callithrix jacchus (white-tufted-ear marmoset). RNAcentral's name for it is "lncRNA (ENSCJAG00000078990.1)". Lineage: Eukaryota; Metazoa; Chordata; Mammalia; Primates; Cebidae. The record is from RNAcentral.
CGUUUCCAUAAUAUCUUUAAUACUUUUCCUCCACUUAACAAACAUGGCUACAGCUUGCCAAGUUGCAACCUUCACCUCCUGGAUUCAAGAGAGUCUCCCACCUCAGCCUCCUGAGUAGCUGGGAUUACAGGCACCUGCCACCACGCCCAGCUAAUUUUUGUAUUUUUAGGAGAGAAAGGGUUUCUCCAUGUUGGCCAGGCUGGUCUCGAACUCCUGACCUCAGGCGAUCCACCCGCCUUGGCUUCCCAAAGUGCUGGGAUUAUAGGAUUAUAGGCUCGAGCCCUGCCCAGAUCAACCUUUUAAGUGUUCCUUGCUUUUUCUUUUCUUUUCUUUUUUUUUUUUUUUUUUUUUUUUUGAGACGGAGUUUCGCUCUUGUUACCCAGACUGGAGUGCAAUGGCGUAAUCUCGGCUCACCGCAACCUCCACCUUCUGGGUUCAAGCAACUCUCCUGCCUCAGCCUCCCGAGUAGCUGGGACUACAGGCAUGCACCACCAUGCCCAGCUAAUUUUUGUAUUUUUAGUAGAGAAGGGGUUUCACCAUGUUGACCAGGAUGGUCUCGAUCUCUUGACCUCGUGAUCCACCCGCCUCGGGCUCCCAAAGUGCUGGGAUUAUAGGCGUGAGCCACCGCGCCCGGCCCCUUGCUUUUUCAUGUAUAGAUUUGACAUUAUCGGCUUUGGGGUAAGGAAGAAACCACCACGACUCUGAGGGUCGGAGACUCGCCCAGUCAUAAGCUCAACAAGAGAAUGGGUCUGUCUGGGCUAGCCUUGGGCUGUUGGAUGAGUAGGGUUGGCCUUUUCAUUUCUCUGGAGGGAUUUUUCAUUUUCUCUGGAAACCAACUCCAAAUUCCUUCUUCCGGAAGGCGUUUUGGAACGCUUGACUGCCUGCAUGCGACCUCGGGUUGCCUCCCUGGUUUCCUCGCCGCUUCCUGCUCAGCUACCAGUUUCUGUUCUCAAAGGACCCUCUCAUACAGCAUGUGCAGAAAGGAGAACUACUAUAUUUCUGUUCUCCCUUAUGCAACAUUGUCCCGUCUGCCAGCAUGGUUGAGCAGCAGCUGUUGUCAAACUGCAGAGUACAAAGUGCACCGUAAAAGACAGAUGGCAGAUCCGCCUUCCUUGCUGGUGAAAUGUUCACUGACCAGGGAGAAACAACCACGUGGAAAAUUAAAUAAACCCAUGACAUUCAUAUCUAGCAGCUCUGGUUUUGUAGGGUUUCCCCUGAGAAGUGGGACUAUUUGCAUGAGUCACUCUUUUUUCUUUUUAGAGUCUUCUCUAUUUGUGAAUAAAUGUUUCCAAUUAAAACAUUGCUACUAA